CAGUAGCCGCGGGAAAACGAAGGGGGCUAGCGUUGUUCGGAUUUACUGGGCGUAAAGCGCACGUAGGCGGAUCGAUCAGUCAGGGGUGAAAUCCCAGAGCUCAACUCUGGAACUGCCUUUGAUACUGUCGAUCUGGAGUAUGGAAGAGGUGAGUGGAAUUCCGAGUGUAGAGGUGAAAUUCGUAGAUAUUCGGAGGAACACCAGUGGCGAAGGCGGCUCACUGGUCCAUUACUGACGCUGAGGUGCGAAAGCUAGGGGAGAAAAUGGGAUUAGAUACCCGCGUAGUCCCUGUCUCUUAUAC
RNAcentral lists this ribosomal RNA (301 nucleotides) under uncultured bacterium. RNAcentral describes it as "partial 16S ribosomal RNA". It matches the Rfam family "Bacterial small subunit ribosomal RNA", at positions 509 to 807 of the family's 1533-position model. The record is from RNAcentral.